RNAcentral lists this ribosomal RNA (506 nucleotides) under uncultured bacterium. RNAcentral describes it as "partial 16S ribosomal RNA". It matches the Rfam family "Bacterial small subunit ribosomal RNA", at positions 29 to 523 of the family's 1533-position model. The record is from RNAcentral.
AGUGAACGCUGGCGGUAGGCCUAACACAUGCAAGUCGAACGGCAGCACAGGAGAGCUUGCUCUCUGGGUGGCGAGUGGCGGACGGGUGAGGAAUACAUCGGAAUCUACUCUGUCGUGGGGGAUAACGUAGGGAAACUUACGCUAAUACCGCAUACGACCUACGGGUGAAAGCAGGGGAUCUUCGGACCUUGCGCGAUUGAAUGAGCCGGUGUCGGAUUAGCUAGUUGGCGGGGUAAAGGCCCACCAAGGCGACGAUCCGUAGCUGGUCUGAGAGGAUAAUCGGCCACACUGGAACUGGGACACGGGCCAGAUUCGUACGGGAGCCAGCAGUGGGGAAUAUUGGAAAAUGGGCGGAAGCCUGAUGCAGCCAUACCGCGUGGGUGAAGAAGGCAUUCGGGUUGUAAAGCCCUUUUGUGGGGAAAGAAAUCCAGCUGGCUAAUACCCGGUUGGGAUGACGGUACCCAAAGAAUAAGCACCGGCUAACUUCGUGCCAGCCGCCGCAGUAA